GUUGAACGCUGGCGGCAGGCCUAACACAUGCAAGUCGAGCGGAUGAAGGGAGCUCUCUCCUGGAUGCAGCUGCGGACGGGUGAGUAAUGCCUACGAAGCUGCCUGGUCUAUGGGGAUAACGUCCGGUAACGGGCGCUAAUACCGCAUCCGUCCUGAUAGAGAAACUGGGGGUUCUUCGGACAUCACGCUAUCUGCUGAGCCUAGGCCGGAUUAGCUAGUUGGUUGGGUAAAGGCCUACCAAGGCGACGAUCCGUAACUGGUCUGAGAGGAUGAUCGGUCACACUGGAACUGAGACACGGUCCAGACUCCUACGGGAGGCAGCAGUGGGGAAUCUUCGACAAUGGGCGAAAGCCUGAUGCAGCCAUGCCGCGUGUGUGAUGAAGGUCUUCGGAUUGUAAAGCACUGUAAGUUGGGAGGAAGGGCUGUAAGAUAAUAUAUUGCCGUUUUGACGUUACCUACACAAUAAGCACCGGCUAACUACGUG
This 484-nucleotide ribosomal RNA is filed under the name uncultured bacterium. RNAcentral's name for it is "partial 16S ribosomal RNA". It matches the Rfam family "Bacterial small subunit ribosomal RNA", at positions 28 to 507 of the family's 1533-position model. The record is from RNAcentral.